This 253-nucleotide ribosomal RNA is filed under the name uncultured bacterium. RNAcentral's name for it is "partial 16S ribosomal RNA". It matches the Rfam family "Bacterial small subunit ribosomal RNA", at positions 524 to 776 of the family's 1533-position model. The record is from RNAcentral.
GACAGAGGUGGCAAGCGUUGUUCGGAUUUACUGGGCGUAAAGAGUGCGUAGGUGGUGAGGUAAGAUCUGUGGGAAAGACCUGGGCUUAACCCAGGAAGGUCGCAGGUGACUGCCUCGCUUGAGGACGGGAGAGGAGAGCGGAAUUCCCGGUGUAGCGGUGAAAUGCGUAGAGAUCGGGAAGAAGGCCGGUGGCGAAGGCGGCUCUCUGGAACGUUCCUGACGCUGAGGCGCGAAGGCCAGGGGAGCAAACGGG